RNAcentral lists this ribosomal RNA (468 nucleotides) under uncultured bacterium. Its description in RNAcentral is "partial 16S ribosomal RNA". It matches the Rfam family "Bacterial small subunit ribosomal RNA", at positions 28 to 507 of the family's 1533-position model. The record is from RNAcentral.
GACGAACGCUGGCGGCGUGCUUAACACAUGCAAGUCGAACGGAAAGGCCCUGCUUUUGUGGGGUGCUCGAGUGGCGAACGGGUGAGUAACACGUGAGUAACCUGCCCUUGACUUUGGGAUAACUUCAGGAAACUGGGGCUAAUACCGGAUAGGAGCUCCUGCUGCAUGGUGGGGGUUGGAAAGUUUCGGCGGUUGGGGAUGGACUCGCGGCUUAUCAGCUUGUUGGUGGGGUAGUGGCUUACCAAGGCUUUGACGGGUAGCCGGCCUGAGAGGGUGACCGGCCACAUUGGGACUGGGAUACGGCCAAGACUCCUACGGGAGGCAGCAGUGGGGAAUAUUGCACAAUGGGCGGAAGCCUGAUGCAGCAACGCCGCGUGCGGGAUGACGGCCUUCGGGUUGUAAACCGCUUUCGCCUGUGACGAAGCGUGAGUGACGGUAAUGGGUAAAGAAGCACCGGCUAACUACGUG